CUUCCUCGGUGGUGGCCAAAGAACUUUCCAGAAAAAGAUAGGAACAUCUUUUCUCAUGACACCUCCAAUUUGCUGGCCCAUGAGCAUGUUCCCUAAGGAAACCCAGGCCCUGUGAUGAAUCCGCUCCCAAAACUGCCCUUUUGCGCAAAGGGUUUCUAAGAAAUCUUAGGACGUGCUACCUAAUACCUCCAUGCCUCCGUUUCCUCAUCUGGAACAUAGGGGUGAAAUAAAACCUACACAGUCACCGAAAGACUGACAAGUUGUGAAGCCUUCGUACUGGCUUCACGACACCCUGACACGGAUACUCUUAUUGCCAGUUGGAAGUGAUAAACUUAGGCAUGCCAGGGUCAGAGGACAGCUUGCAGGAGAUGGUUCUCUCAAUCAUGUGGGGCCCGGAGAGCAAACCCAGAUCAACUGACUUGAACGCUUUCACCCAUCUGGAUGCAAACACAGAAGCUUCCUGAUCCCCCAGACUUGACCUUUUGAGCCCGGACCAAAGAAGAAUCAAGUUGUCUUGCAGCUGCUCUCACACUUGCUGUGGGAUGGAGGCAAAGGGGAAGGAGAAGAAUUUCCCUGGAGGGCGAUGCUUUCCUGGAGAGAAACACACUUCCUAAAAGCAACGCAAGCAUGAUUUAUGCAACGCCGGGCAGUCGGGCUCCUUUUAUUUCUCUCCAGCUCUGAAACACAGGCUGGAGGCUCCUGCUUAUCUUCUAUCCCAGAAGGAGGCUCUGAUCCUUGGAGGAGGGCUUGGUAUUAUGCCAGGAUCUGAAUUAGAAACCACAGCCUUGAGAUGAUGCCAAGUGGGCCAAUUAAGAAGGUGUUGACGACGCUUCCCAGGAACGAGUUUCUAGAUAUUUUAACUUUGAUGGAAAAGUUUAAGCUUCUAAAAAUCCCCCAAGAACCUCAUAUUUUCCAGGGAAUAGUGCCUGGGCUCUUAAGAGCUUCCAAGAAAACAGGAUUCUCGGAAGGUCUUCCGACCUUCAGGCUCACUGGUCCAAUCAAGAGAUGUAUGGAAAAACAAAAGCAAAACAAACUGUGCCUUCUCACACACCCUGAGAGAUUUGAGAUAAGUCUUUAAGAAGUUUGCUGCAAAUUAGGAUAGUGCACCAGCUUUGGAAAAUAAGCUCCCUCCUGUUCUCCCCAUUUUUUGGCUGCUGGGCACGGCAGGGUUGGCCAGCAACAAUGUCAGAAUAAGGGGUUCAGAUUAACACUUUCCCCACCUGGAUUUCCCUCAGAAUCCUGGCACACCUAAUAAUCUCCAAAACUGGCACAAACUGGCUAUUACAAUCUAAAGUGUAAGGGCCCAUCAACCCUGUGUUCUUACUGCAAGCCCUGCAAGGUAGUCUGUCUGUAGAUGAGAAAGCCAAGGACUCGGGAGGAACCAAGAAAUUCAGGGGAAGUUCAGUUGCAAGUGCGACUCAGACGGGUUCAAGCUCACUAUUCCAAUCUAACUUGGGAAUUCCUAAGAACAGGUGAGAGCAAGGUCAUAGCCAGGGUGGUUUGGAGAGUCCGGCUGCUCCCUGGGUUAACCCUUCAGCUCCUGGACCCUGGUGGUGUCACUGGAGUCCUGCAAGAGAGGCCUGACUCUAGCGGGAAGGGAUUCCAACAAAAUAAUAAUAAUAAUAAAUCCAGAUAACGGAAGAAGAAAUGGUGAAAAACAGCAAAGAAAUUUAAUCAGUAUAGCUAUGCUAGCAAGACAAAGGAGAGCAGUGCCCUUAGCUCUGUCCCAAGGAACACUGACAUGAGCUCCCAGGUUAUAGGGGAAAGGGAGAGAGGGUGGGGCAAAAAAAAAUUACACAUAAUCAGUCUCUGUCAAACAGUGGUUCCAUUGGUCCUUAUCUCUCAGUACUGGUUAGGAAGGGCUUUGUUGCAACAAGAAAGUCAUUGCUUCCUGGACUCUUGUCACAAGAUGUACUGAACUCUGAGGUAAGUGCAAAAGAGAACACCUCAAAGCAAAGGUGGCAUAUGCAGAAUGGAGCCAGCAAUGCCAAGGUUUUCUGCUUUUGGUUGUUCACUGGGCAUUUUGGGGCCAGGUGGGGAAGAGUUGAUGCUUUGAGCAAAGGUAGCCUCUAAGCCAGUGGUUCUCAACUUGUGGGUCACGACCCCUUCACAGAGUUGCCUAAGGCCAUCAGAAAACACAGAUAUUCACAUCGCAGUUCAUAACAGUAGCAAUGUUACAGUCAUGAAGUCGCCAUGAGGAUAAUUUUAUGGCUGGGGGUCACCACAGCAUGAGGAACUGUACUAAAGGAUCAAAGCAUUAGGAAGGUUGAGAAGCACUGCUCUAAGUUCCUGUUCCCCCGGAGCAGCAGGAAGAAAGCAGGUGAGAAAGUCCCUUUUUAUUAAACUAUUAUUUUAAUCAUCAUAGAGCCAACACAGCCAGCCCAAGAUGACCGAAGACUGGAAACGAGUCCCAGACAUAGGUGGAUUAAAGCAAGGAUCAGCUCUGCUUUUGGGGCCGAGUGGAAGCAUGAUAGGAUGGGCCAUUAGGAGUGUCUGGGGUGGGGGAAGAAUGCACAAAUGUGGGAGGCAUCAAUCCACAGGCCUACAACUCAUUUACUGUAGCUGAUUGAGGGGUGAGGUUUGGAGCUGGGAAGUGGGAAAGAGCCAUGACAGAAGGAAAGAGAAGGGCACAUGGAGAAUGGGGCACCAGAAAGCCAAUAAACUGGGAAGUUGGAUAAAAUCAGCUUAGGCUUUGGACAUAUGAAUAUGUAUGGGUUUUAAAAGUCCUAAAAUAUAAAUUAUCCAACUUUCAAAUAAAAAUGUUAAGCAA
Long non-coding RNA from Arvicola amphibius (Eurasian water vole), 2770 nucleotides. RefSeq lists it as uncharacterized. The transcript has 5 exons. The record is from RefSeq and is a predicted model, not a curated record. NCBI's taxonomy places the organism in Eukaryota, Metazoa, Chordata, Mammalia, Rodentia, Cricetidae.